GUCUGGGAGGGGAGCCUCCCUGAGGCUGGGAGUGGUCAGAGAGGGUAUUUCAGAGGGGCUGAGGGCAUCUGAGCUGAGCCCUGAAGGAUCCAUGGGAGGAUGGGGAGCCAGGGACGGGUCAGGAUUGGUGGAAGGCGUCUUGGUUAGAGGUUCCUGUUAGAAAAAUUUCUCUGCCUACCUCGUCAAAAAUACUGUUGGAGUGAACGAGCUGCAGAAGAGAGAAUGGAUUGGAGAAGGACAGAACUGGAGGCACAAGGUCUAUCUGGGAGUGUUACAGCCACCCAGGGGAUAAUCACAGUGUCGACCUGAGCAGAUGGAUACGAGGGUGUUGGAGAGGUCCACGCGGACCUUCUAGGUCUGCUCCAUCUUUCUGCACGGCUGCAUUGCAGCAAUUCUGUGGGGGAAACAACGAUGAACCGCCAUUCCCCUAUGUGUGAGGCCUUUUCCUUCCCUGACGAAAUAGAGACAAGAAUGAGUCAGCCUCUCCCAACCUCCAGGAUCUCCCAGUCGUCCCAGUGACUCAGAGGAUGGUCUGUUUCAUGGAUGACUUCAAGACCCUGAUGGUUCCUGGAGGCACACGUUGGAAUGAGCCUAGAUCCCUGGAUCACCAUGUGGAGGAAAGCCAUUAUGAAAUGGGAAUACCUCUUUAUUGUGUAGGCUCCAGAACUGUGAGACAAUGAAUUUCUGUUGAUUAAGCCAUCUACAUUGUGGGACCUUGUUGCAGCAGUCCUAACAAACUCAUACAACACUUCACUCUUCCUAUCAAGAGGUAGAGUCCAUUUAUCCUCCCCUUGAAUCUGGGCUGGCUUUGUGACUUUCUUUAGCCAACAGAAUGAGGUAGAAAUCGUGAAAUGGCCCUCCUGGGCCUAGGUCUUCAGAGGCCUGGCUGCUUCCAUUUCACCCCAGAGAGAAGCCAGGCUGCCAUGUUGUAAGGAAGUCCAGGCCAUGCUGCACGAGAUGUCCCGUGGAGAGAGAAACCAUUUGGAUUGUUCCAGACCCAGUCAAGCUUCCAGCCGAUGUCCCUAAUCAACAGCACAUGCAGCGGAAGAACGGUCUAGCUGAGCCCAGUGAACCCCAAGAGUUGAGAAAUAAGAACUUGUUGUUUUAAGCCACUGGGUUACGAGGGUGGUUUGUUAUUGUGAGGGUGUUUCUUAUGCAGCAACAGGCGACUGAAAAGAACUCUGGCAAGUCUUCUAGCACCUCUGCCAUAGUUGUCCCCACAGCGAGAUGCCUCCAGAGCCAUCCUUGCUACCAUCCUCCCCAACGGACUCUGGGUGCUGCCUGUUUCCUCACGUUGCUCACUUCCACAGAACAAUCUUCCGUGGUGCGUGUGGGCAAAGCUAGCAGCCCCCCUGCAGAGGGGGCUGGGAAGGAGCAUGUCUGGCUGUGGGGGAGGGGGUAUAGGAUUCGUGACAUGGAAAGUUCCCCAAACACAGAAGGACGUUCAAAGGGUACUGAGCACCCCUGAAAUAUGAUGAAGGCUGUCAAUAGGGCCAAAUAUAUAUGUAUUUUUUAUUUAAUUUUUGUGUGUGUGUGAACUCCCUGUGUGUUUGGCACACAGCUCUGGGCCCAUUCACCUUCUAAUUGUAAACAGUGCCCUGACAUCACCCUUCCUCACUCUGCAUCCCUGUGGUUUGGAAUGGACCAACUCCAGGGCUGGGCAUGUGAUUCAGGCCCAAACAAUGAUUUGUGACCCAGGCAGAGCCAACUUGGUGUAGCCUUGGCUUUUUGCUGGGACAGCUGAAAGAAAUGAGGACUUGAGCCGUGAGGGUGGAACUUGGAGCUGCUGGCAGCCAUCUUGCCACAGCAAGGAGCAGAGAAGAGAGACGAGGUGGGGAAGACUGAGCCUCGAUGAUAUUUUUAAAGCCUCUUGGAACCCGGAUCAGGCAGACUGUUGGCGUCUUCUCUUACAUGAGCGUCUGCUUGUCCUAUUUGCUUACACCAAGCCAAUCUGAGUAGUUUUCCAUCAUUCGUCAAGUCCUUAUUAACAUUCUUAUUUAAUACAAUGACUUUUUGCGGGAGGCGUUAUUUAUUAAACCCAUUUUACAGAUGAGGAAACUGAAGCACAGGGAGGCCACGUGGAGGCAGAUUUCAAACCCAGGAAAUCUAAUUCUGAGAGCCCACUCAGAAACCUUCUGCUUCCUCGGUGACAGGGAAGGAUUCACAGAGGAAGGUGUGACAUUGAACCUGACCUUUAACUCCAAGGGACAGGGUGGUUGGGCAGGAGGGGACAGAAAGGUUUUCUAGAGGAAGGAACUAGCCUGGGCAAUGACAAGGACUUUUCUGCUGAGAAGAAACUUCACCUAACAUUCACCACGUCCCUGCCUUGAAGCCUAUACUCACACGGGUCCCUCCCGUAGGGGAGCAUCACACCCCAUUUCUGUAGGGACACCUGUGCUCUCCUGGCUUCCACCCGUGUGCACCUAUGCUCUGCAGUGGGGCCUGGUGAGUCCUCUGUGGGGUCAAGGUUAGGGGAGGCACCCUCCUUUGCCUGAAAGACAGCUCCGGGCAGGGGCUACCCAAGGCUUCCACCCCUUGGACUGGGUCUCUGUCAGCUCCAGGAGGCCCUGGAGAUGCUCACAGAGUUAAACUGUGAAAUGUUACCUGACCAGAUGGCCUCGGGCCUUAAAAGAGCACAAAUGAAAAACUGUACAAGGGACCAGCGUGGUGCUUGCAGGAUCUCAA
Molecule: long non-coding RNA, 2685 nt
Organism: Ailuropoda melanoleuca (giant panda)
Lineage: Eukaryota; Metazoa; Chordata; Mammalia; Carnivora; Ursidae
Exons: 4
Source: RefSeq, a predicted model, not a curated record